Molecule: ribosomal RNA, 402 nt
Filed under: uncultured bacterium
Lineage: Bacteria
Description: bacterial SSU rRNA
Rfam family: Bacterial small subunit ribosomal RNA
Source: RNAcentral
UGGGGAAUAUUGCACAAUGGGCGAAAGCCUGAUGCAGCAACGCCGCGUGAGUGAUGAAGGCCUUCGGGUUGUAAAGCUCUGUCUUCUGGGACGAUAAUGACGGUACCAGAGGAGGAAGCCACGGCUAACUACGUGCCAGCAGCCGCGGUAAUACGUAGGUGGCAAGCGUUGUCCGGAUUUACUGGGCGUAAAGGAUGCGUAGGCGGAUACUUAAGUCAGAUGUGAAAAUCCCGGGCUUAACUUGGGAACUGCAUUUGAAACUGGGUAUCUAGAGUGCGGGAGAGGACAGUGGAAUUCCUAGUGUAGCGGUGAAAUGCGUAGAGAUUAGGAAGAACACCAGUGGCGAAGGCGACUUUCUGGACUGUAACUGACGCUGAGGCAUGAAAGCGUGGGGAGCAAACA